This 255-nucleotide unclassified non-coding RNA is filed under the name Hevea brasiliensis (rubber tree). The record is from RNAcentral. Lineage: Eukaryota; Viridiplantae; Streptophyta; Magnoliopsida; Malpighiales; Euphorbiaceae.
GAAUUCACAAAAUCCAACAAGCCAUCAUUUAUUUUCUCAGCAAUAGCAAAUCCUCAAAAUAAAAACUGCCAUAAGUCAAAAACUCAAAAAUCAGUAGAUCAGCCAUUAUUCUUUAUGCUAUAAAGGUAUUAUUACAAAACCACAGACCCCACCAAAAGUAACUCAAUAAAAUUAAAAAGAAACAUUAAAGAAAAGAAAGGGCAAUACAAAGACAAACAAAAUAAAGCUUACCUCCUCUAGAAAUACUUAGCCCAA